This 499-nucleotide ribosomal RNA is filed under the name uncultured bacterium. Its description in RNAcentral is "partial 16S ribosomal RNA". It matches the Rfam family "Bacterial small subunit ribosomal RNA", at positions 30 to 523 of the family's 1533-position model. The record is from RNAcentral.
AUUGAACGCUGGCGGAUGCUUUACACAUGCAAGUCGAACGGCAGCACGGACUUCGGUCUGGUGGCGAGUGGCGAACGGGUGAGUAAUGUAUCGGAACGUGCCCAGUCGUGGGGGAUAACGUAGUGAAAAUUACGCUAAUACCGCAUACGAUCUAUGGAUGAAAGCGGGGGAUCGCAAGACCUCGCGCGAUUGGAGCGGCCGUUAUCAGAUUAGGUAGUUGGUGGGGUAAAGGCCCACCAAGCCAACGAUCUGUAGCUGGUCUGAGAGGACGACCAGCCACACUGGAACUGAGACACGGUCCAGACUCCUACGGGAGGCAGCAGUGGGGAAUUUUGGACAAGGGGCGAAAGCCUGAUCCAGCCAUUCCGCGUGCAGGAUGAAGGCCCUCGGGUUGUAAACUGCUUUUGUACAGAACGAAAAGGUUUCUACUAAUACUAGGGGCUCAUGACGGUACUGUAAGAAUAAGCACCGGCUAACUACGUGCCAGCAGCCGCCGUAA